CCUACGGGUGGCAGCAGUCGAGAAUUUUUCACAAUGGGCGCAAGCCUGAUGGAGCGACGCCGCGUGGGGGAUGAAUGGCUUCGGCCCGUAAACCCCUGUCAUUUGCGAUCAAACCGCAUUAUUUAAAAGAUGAUGCGCUGAUAGUAGCGAAAGAGGAAGGGACGGCUAACUCUGUGCCAGCAGCCGCGGUAAUACAGAGGUCCCAAGCGUUGUUCGGAUUCACUGGGCGUAAAGGGUGCGUAGGCGGCCGGGUAAGUCUGCUGUGAAAUCCCGCAGCUCAACUGCGGAACUGCAUUGGAUACUAUCCGGCUCGAGGAAUGGAGGGGAGACUGGAAUUCUCGGUGUAGCAGUGAAAUGCGUAGAUAUCGAGAGGAACACCAGUGGCGAAGGCGAGUCUCUGGACAUUUCCUGACGCUGAGGCACGAAAGCCAGGGGAGCAAACGGGAUUAGAUACCCUUGUAGUC
This 464-nucleotide ribosomal RNA is filed under the name uncultured bacterium. Its description in RNAcentral is "bacterial SSU rRNA". It matches the Rfam family "Bacterial small subunit ribosomal RNA", at positions 338 to 795 of the family's 1533-position model. The record is from RNAcentral.